RNAcentral lists this ribosomal RNA (497 nucleotides) under bacterium enrichment culture clone ALO1_GLFRUDD03FX13F. RNAcentral's name for it is "bacterial SSU rRNA". It matches the Rfam family "Bacterial small subunit ribosomal RNA", at positions 9 to 524 of the family's 1533-position model. The record is from RNAcentral.
GAGUUUGAUCCUGGCUCAGAUUGAACGCUGGCGGCAUGCCUUACACAUGCAAGUCGAACGGCAGCACGGGAGCUUGCUCCUGGUGGCGAGUGGCGAACGGGUGAGUAAUGCAUCGGAACGUAUCCUGGAGUGGGGGAUAACGUAGCGAAAGUUACGCUAAUACCGCAUAUUCUGUGAGCAGGAAAGCGGGGGACCUUCGGGCCUCGCGCUCUUGGAGCGGCCGAUGUCGGAUUAGCUAGUUGGUGAGGUAAAGGCUCACCAAGGCGACGAUCCGUAGCAGGUCUGAGAGGAUGAUCAGCCACAUUGGGACUGAGACACGGCCCAAACUCCUACGGGAGGCAGCAGUGGGGAAUAUUGGACAAUGGGCGAAAGCCUGAUCCAGCAAUGCCGCGUGUGUGAAGAAGGUCUUCGGAUUGUAAAGCACUUUUGGCAGGGACGAUGAUGACGGUACCUGCAGAAUAAGCCCCGGCUAACUUCGUGCCAGCCGCCGCAGUAAU